GACGAACGCUGGCGGCGUGCUUAACACAUGCCAGUCGAACGGAAAGGCCCUGCUUUUGUGGGGUGCUCGAGUGGCGAACGGGUGAGUAACACGUGAGUAACCUGCCCUUGACUUUGGGAUAACUUCAGGAAACUGGGGCUAAUACCGGAUAGGAGCUCCUGCUGCAUGGUGGUGGUUGGAAAGUUUCGGCGGUUGGGGAUGGACUCGCGGCUUAUCAGCUUGUUGGUGGGGUAGUGGCUUACCAAGGCUUUGACGGGUAGCCGGCCUGAGAGGGUGACCGGCCACAUUGGGACUGAGAUACGGCAGAGACUCCUACGGGAGGCAGAAGUGGGGAAUAUUGAACAAUGGGCGGAAGGCUGAUGCAGCAACGCCGCGUGCGGGAUGACGGCCUUAGGGUUGUAAACCGCUUUCGCCUGUGACGAAGCGUGAGUGAAGGGAAUGGGUAAAGAAGCACAGGCUAAAUAAGUG
RNAcentral lists this ribosomal RNA (468 nucleotides) under uncultured bacterium. RNAcentral's name for it is "partial 16S ribosomal RNA". It matches the Rfam family "Bacterial small subunit ribosomal RNA", at positions 28 to 507 of the family's 1533-position model. The record is from RNAcentral.